Molecule: unclassified non-coding RNA, 378 nt
Filed under: plant metagenome
Description: partial contains 5.8S ribosomal RNA, internal transcribed spacer 2, and large subunit ribosomal RNA
Rfam family: 5.8S ribosomal RNA (bases 1-105)
Source: RNAcentral
GUAAUGCGAUAAGUAAUGUGAAUUGCAGAAUUCAGUGAAUCAUCGAAUCUUUGAACGCACCUUGCGCUCCUUGGUAUUCCUUGGAGCAUGCCUGUUUGAGUAUCAUGAAAUCUUCAAAGUAAAUCUUUUGUUAACUCAAUUGGUUUCUACUUUGGUAUUGGAGGUCUUUGCAGCUUCACACCUGCUCCUCUUUGUUCAUUAGCUGGAUCUCAGUGUUAUGCUUGGUUCCACUCGGCGUGAUAAGUUAUCUAUCGCUGAGGACACUGUAAAAGGUGGCCAAGGUAAAUGCAGAUGAACCGCUUCUAAUAGUCCAUUGACUUGGACAAUACUUUUAUGAUCUGAUCUCAAAUCAGGUAGGACUACCCGCUGAACUUAAGC